GACGAACGCUGGCGGCGUGCUUAACACAUGCAAGUCGGACGAUGAAGCUGGAGCUUGCUCCGGUGGAUUAGUGGCGAACGGGUGAGUAACACGUGAGUAAUCUGCCCUUGACUCUGGGAUAACUGCGGGAAACUGUAGCUAAUACCGGAUACGACACCUUCGGGCAUCCGAUGGGUGUGGAAAGAAUUUCGGUCAAGGAUGAACUCGCGGCCUAUCAGCUAGUUGGUGAGGUAAUGGCUCACCAAGGCGACGACGGGUAGCCGGCCUGAGAGGGUGACCGGCCACACUGGGACUGAGACACGGCCCAGACUCCUACGGGAGGCAGCAGUGGGGAAUAUUGCACAAUGGGCGAAAGCCUGAUGCAGCAACGCCGCGUGAGGGAUGAAGGCCUUCGGGUUGUAAACCUCUUUUAGUUGGGAAGAAGCGAAAGUGACGGUACCAACAGAAAAAGCACCGGCCAACUACGUGCCAGCAGCCGCAGUAA
This 484-nucleotide ribosomal RNA is filed under the name uncultured bacterium. RNAcentral's name for it is "partial 16S ribosomal RNA". It matches the Rfam family "Bacterial small subunit ribosomal RNA", at positions 28 to 523 of the family's 1533-position model. The record is from RNAcentral.